This 432-nucleotide unclassified non-coding RNA is filed under the name soil metagenome. Its description in RNAcentral is "partial contains 5.8S ribosomal RNA, internal transcribed spacer 2, and large subunit ribosomal RNA". The stretch from base 1 to 120 matches the Rfam family "5.8S ribosomal RNA", at positions 35 to 154 of the family's 154-position model. The record is from RNAcentral.
GAUGAAGAACGUAGCGAAAUGCGAUACGUAAUGUGAAUUGCAGAAUUCAGUGAAUCAUCGAAUCUUUGAACGCAUAUUGCGCUCUCUGGUAUUCCGGAGAGCAUGCUUGUUUGAGUAUCAGUAAACACCUCAACUUCCAUAUCUUUUUUGAAAUGGGAGUUGGACUUGAGUGAUCCCAACGCUUUUCCUCACCGAAAAGUGGCGGGUUACUUGAAAUGCAGGUGCAGCUGGACUUUUCUCUGAGCUAUAAGCAUAUCUAUUUAGUCUGCCUAAAAAACAGAUUAUUACCUUUGCUGCGGCUAACAUAAAGGAGAUUAGUUCUUGUGCUGACUGAUGCAGGAUUCACAAAGACGGCUUCGGCCGACUUUGUAAACUCGAUCUCAAAUCAAGUAAGACUACCCGCUGAACUUAAGCAUAUCAAUAAGCGGAGGA